GGUCAAUGGCCUAACGGCUGAACCAGCAACUUGGGGGAAUGGAUAUAUAUAUUAGAGAUAAUAUAUAUAGUACCGACUCUGUCGGAUAAAGUUCUAGAUAGAAUAAUGAUAAUGACAAUUUUCUAUCUAUAUGUCUUGACCAAAUCUUGUGCCAGCAGUCGCGGCAACACAAGGGAGACUAGUGUUAUUCAUCUUUAUUAGGUUUAAAGGGUACCUAGACGGUAUAUCAAGCCCCAAAAGGGUACGGAUAUACUAGAGUUUUAUGUGAGAGGCAAAUAUAGUACUAUUGGUGUAGAGAUAAAAUUUUUUGAUACCUCUAGGCACGGGUAACGGCGAAGGCAAUCCUCUAUGUAAAAACUGACGUUGAGGGACGAAGGCUUGGGUAGCGAAUAGGAUUAGAGACCCUAGUAGUCCAGGCAGAUAAUUAUGAAUGUCAUAGAUUAGAAAUACUUUUUGAUCUAUAAAUGAAAGUGUAAGCAUUCCACCUCAAGAGUAAUGUGGCAACGCAGGAACUGAAAUCAUUAGACCGUUUCUGAAACCAGUAGUGAAGUAUGUUAUUUAAUUCGAUGAUCCUCGAAAAACCUUACCACAGUUUGAAUGUUAAUUAAUAAGUUAACACAGGCGUUGCAUGGCUGUCUUCAGUUAAUGUCGUGAGAUUUGGUUAGAUCCAAAAAAUUAACGUAAACCCUUGUUCUUUAUUUAUUUGAAUAAUGCAGUUAACCGCUAUAUUGGAUUAUAUAAC
RNAcentral lists this ribosomal RNA (742 nucleotides) under Endomelanconiopsis endophytica. Its description in RNAcentral is "SSU rRNA". It matches the Rfam family "Bacterial small subunit ribosomal RNA", at positions 366 to 1164 of the family's 1533-position model. Lineage: Eukaryota; Fungi; Ascomycota; Dothideomycetes; Botryosphaeriales; Botryosphaeriaceae. The record is from RNAcentral.